AUGAAUUUAAGAAGGUAGCAUGUUAACAGAUGUGUGAGACUUGUUUUCUGUGUAUCCAAAUCCUUGUUUCACAUUGAAUGUUUUAAAAAUGAAUUUGAAAUUCAGUAUCUAUUCACCCCAUGACCUAAGAGUAUACAGAGGAACCAGUUAGAAAUGACCAGUUGAGGGUAGAGUGUUUAAUUGAGAAGUCAGCACAUACUGGCAGCUCUUAAACCAAAUAUUGGCUCGUUUAACUUGAAAUUGUAAGUAUUUUGAAAUUCUUUGUAACAUAUGCUAUAAUUUCAAUCCUUAUUUCCCCUGUUGUCAGACAUAGCGACUUUAGACUAAACAUACUUUUUGCCUUCAUCACAGUUCCAAGUUCUUCGAUUUGAUUUGUCUAAUGGAACAAAUUGAUGUUACCUUGAAGUGGUAUGAGGACCUGAUACCUUCAGUCUACUUUCCCCACUCCCAAACAUUGAUACAUCUUCUCCAAGCAUUGGAUGUGGCCAAUCGGCUAGAAAUGAUUCCUAAAAUUUGGAAAGAUAGUAAAGAAUAUGGUCAUACUUUCCGCAGCGACCUGAGAGAAGAGAUCCUGAAGCUCAUGGCAAGGGACAAGCACCCACCAGAGCUUCAGGUGGCAUUUGCUGACUGUGCUGCUGAUAUCAAAUCUGCGUAUGAAAGCCAACACAUCAGACAGACUGCUCAGGAUUGGCCAGCCACCUCUCUCAACUGUAUAGCUAUCCUCUUUUUAAGGGCUGGGAGAACUCAGGAAGCC
Molecule: small RNA, 754 nt
Filed under: Pongo abelii (Sumatran orangutan)
Lineage: Eukaryota; Metazoa; Chordata; Mammalia; Primates; Hominidae
Description: retained intron
Source: RNAcentral